This is a long non-coding RNA of Gasterosteus aculeatus aculeatus (three-spined stickleback), 786 nucleotides long. RefSeq lists it as uncharacterized. The record is from RefSeq and is a predicted model, not a curated record. Lineage: Eukaryota; Metazoa; Chordata; Actinopteri; Perciformes; Gasterosteidae.
CUGACUCGACUUUGGACAUGAGUCAGCAAUGCAUGAUUGUUAAUAUGCUGGGAUGAUUGCCAAUAGUCACAUGCUGGUUGUUGCUCAUCCAGCCGCACCUUUUAUUUUUCCAGCAGGUUGAGUCACUCUGACUUUAGACUAAGGGGGGGGGGGCAAGGUGCAGCGAUCGACUACCUGAGCUAGCUACGCUGCUGGACGUGCUCUCGUUCACGCUGUGGAUAACUGCACCAAAAUACUUUCCUUCGAUCUCUUGUCUGUGUUGCGGAGGCCCGAGCCGGUGAUUUUUUGAAUUUUGCAGGAAUAUACAUGAGACCGAUAUUCCUCCAAAAUAGGAAAGAGGCUAAAGUGAUGAUACUCUGCAAGUGCUCAGUGGGAUUAUCUCUGGCUGUGGAGCAGGAGCCCGUCGACAGAAGAGUUUACUGAUUUGGAGGUAGCAGAGGGCCGCUUGGGAAGCAUCUUGGAGUAAAGUCUAAGCAAGCGAGGACACCGAGCAGUGCGUCAUCAGAUAGCAGCCUCCCUUACAGCCCAUUUCAACGGGAGCGCAGUCUUGGAGACGGAGCCUCUGGGAGUGGACGUCAGAAUGAUUCCAUUGGACUUUACUCCAAAGACGAAGCGAAUGAGUUUGCUCAGAUAGUAGCCGGCACCAUCGUGUCCAUAAGAAGGUUCUUUUUCGUCCAAACGCGAGCCUGUGCCUUCGCUUCAGAGGAAGUCUGAUGAAGAGCAUCGAGUGUUGGUCUGGUUUGGAGACUACAGGUUUCAAAAUGAUAAUAAAAACCUUCAACAGGC